UGGCGCCCGGUGCCGGUGCCCGGGCUGUGGGCAUCGAGUCCUGGGGGUAAUAAAGAGGGUUGGUGGUAGAGAGGAGGCUGUGGUAGGACUUCACGGCUCCGUCGCUCUUAAGGGGCUGGCUUUGGUGCUUUUUCCCCUUCACAACCAGGAGGGAGGCCUUCCCCGCUGACUGGGGCGGCAACCUGCGGUGCCCUGCCGGGUUCCCCUCCUCUCGAUAAAAGAACGAAAUAGUGGAUGUGUGGUGAUGGAAGUGGAUGGUGCCAAAACAGCCUGAUUUAAAGCUAUAAAGUUGUUUUCCUGAUCUUCAAAACUGUGGGGCUACCACUCUGAGAAAUCAUUUCAGGGGUAACAUUUAAGGUUACAGCUUGCUUCUGCAUAGGGAAGUACAGUAGAAAUAAAAAGCUCCAGCAGCCCUCUGUAUUUGUGUUUAGUCUGCUGGCAUGGCAGACAGUUGAUAUAUUAUCAAAAGGAACAUUCCUAGAAAUACAAGAGAAGCAAAAAACUGUUUUCAAACUUCUAUUGGAAGGUGGAGUAAUUUACUGCUGUAUGAUGGCCAUCAGCUCAUUGAUGAAGCUAGAAGUAAGAACUAUGAAGACUUCAAAAAAGAUAACUUAGUAGUGUUACUUCCCUGACACCAUGAACUGAAAAGGAACAACUCUUUACAGUGAAGAAGGAGCAAAUGUGCAGCCUUGUGAGCCCUUUCAUGGAGUGAUACGAGAUACAUCAGUACCAUGUUAUCAGCGAAGGCUGCUGAGAAUGUACAGGGUUGCCAGUGUCUGUUCUGGACGAUACUCACUGUAUUUAAUUACCGCUGUAAGUUGUGCCCUGGUGCACACACCACACCCUUAUCACUGUCCUUUCCUGAGAAUUGCCUAUACUAUUAUGAAACAAAAUAAAAAAGGUUUAAUAUGAUGAAA
Molecule: non-coding RNA, 917 nt
Organism: Anas platyrhynchos (mallard)
Lineage: Eukaryota; Metazoa; Chordata; Aves; Anseriformes; Anatidae
Source: RefSeq, a predicted model, not a curated record